Molecule: long non-coding RNA, 1430 nt
Filed under: Athene cunicularia (burrowing owl)
Lineage: Eukaryota; Metazoa; Chordata; Aves; Strigiformes; Strigidae
Description: lncRNA (ENSACUG00000012683.1)
Source: RNAcentral
AUGACAAAGGUGUUUGGCAAAUACCUCCGGCCUUCUCAGAGGACGGACAUUCUCCUCAUGGCCAUCAAGGCCUUGACGUCAGACGAUGUCCGGGACAGGCAGAAGGGCACAGAUGUCGUGUACAUGGCUGUGAGGGACCCCGCGUCCUGGCUGACGGAUGUGCUAGAAAUUAUGAGAUACAUCCACAAAUCUGUGGAGCACGUCCGCACGGAGCCAGCCCGCAAGAGCCUGGACUCACUGCUGCUGGUGUUGACAGACUGGAGCCCCAGGGAGACGGUCAGGAGCCUCUUGAGGAUCUCUCCAACGUGUGACAGGGCGGCCGUGGCCAUGUGGGAGGUGCUGAUCUCCGUGCGCUGGGCUUUGUGGAGCGUCUUGUUGCAGCUGGUCGACGUGCUGCAGGACCGGCGGCUGCGCAGGGUGUUCAGCUCUGCCAUGGAGGACGCCUGCAUCUACCCCAUGAUUCUCCUGCUCUGCACUGACAUUCAUGAGGCGGAUUUUGCUGCCCUCUAUGAAACCCAGAGGUACCUGAGGCGUCCCAGCCCGGUGAUGCUCUCGCUGGUGCUCACGGGCCUCGUCACGCUCUCGAAAACACCUGGAACGGCCAGAAAAAUGUCAGUGCUGCUGCCAGACAUACUGGAGACCCUGACGGACACCAACGCCCAUGUCAAGAGCAAGGCUCUGCUGGUGUUCAUCAACGUGAUGGGUCACAUGAAGAGGGAGGAGGCCGACCUCAUCUCCCUGAAGCUGGUGGAGAAGCUCCUGCCCCUCUUCGAUGACGAGUGCAGCCGGGUGCGGGAGCUCUCCAUCAGCCUCUUCAGAGAUAUGAUGAAGACUGCAGUGGGGAGAAACAAGAAAAAAAUGGUGAAGACAGUGCAGAGUAACCUGAUCCCACUGUACUUCCAUACGAGCGACCAGGUCGAGAGCGUGGCCAAGGCUUCCUGGAACACCCUCAGCGCCUGUGGAGACUUCCUGGGCUGGAGGAGGCUCAGCUCCGCGGCCGAGACAGGGCAGACACACCUGAUCGGAGACUGCUUGAUAACGCACAAGAGGAACAGCGUGGACGAGUAUCUGCGCCAGAGCCUGCCCUACGUGGAGAACCCUCAGGCCACCGUGCGGGAGGAGGCCGUCAGGUUCAUCGGGCUUGCUGUGCGGCGCCGGAGUACCCUCAGCCAGGAGAGGGUGUGGCAGAUCUGCAACAGUGAGUAGGGGACAGCCUGGGCAGGAAAAUGCUCCAGGGGCAGAUGAGCGGUUUCAGAAAGUUGUUUGUGUCUUAACACAUAGGUUAGCAGGUUACUCUUUAGUAAGGUCUUGAAAUUGGAGGAAUUUUGUUUCCUCACCAAAAAGGAAGGGAAUCUGUGGGGAAAGAACAGCCGUCUCUGUCCUGCCCCUUGCCAGGAGGCUGAUGAUGUCCAGACUCCACACUGGGAUGC